Molecule: transfer RNA, 65 nt
Filed under: Planctomycetia bacterium
Lineage: Bacteria; Pseudomonadati; Planctomycetota; Planctomycetia
Description: tRNA-OTHER
Rfam family: tRNA
About the family: Transfer RNA (tRNA) molecules are approximately 80 nucleotides in length. Their secondary structure includes four short double-helical elements and three loops (D, anti-codon, and T loops).
Source: RNAcentral
CAGGGGGUAGGCAAGCCGCCAGCCUUGGGAGCUGGACAGCGUGGGUUCGAUCCCCACUCCCCUGA